Molecule: non-coding RNA, 2493 nt
Organism: Phascolarctos cinereus (koala)
Lineage: Eukaryota; Metazoa; Chordata; Mammalia; Diprotodontia; Phascolarctidae
Source: RefSeq, a predicted model, not a curated record
CUUUUCCCUCCUCCCUAGCCCAGCCAGGAGCAUGGCAACAAGCAGCAUGGCAACUCGUAGCUAUAAUAUGACGUGUGUGUGUGUGUGUGUGUGUGUGUGUGUGUUUUCUUGUGUUAUGAAAGGAGGGCUUUACAACACACAAUGAAAUAGAAGAUUAUUCCCUGCAACCCUGCUCUCUAGAGACCCCUAGUGGCCACCAUGGGAGUACUAAUGAUGUGCUUCAAAGUGUUUCCACCUUUCUCCACUGCAGGAAGGAAGUUUUUACCGGACGAGAAGAGAAUCAGCUGCACCUGCAUAUACCCGUGUUGGAAGAGUGGAUUCUACCUGGUGGCUCCAGAAGGACGGAAUCCCUGCCAGCGCUGGACCUGGCUUUUUCCAUUUUUAUCUCGCAUCAAGAUUUUUGCAGCUUUGUUUCUUGGGGCCCUGGCUGAUUUGCAUAUUUGCCUUCCAGCUGGUCUGACCUAAGGAAUGCUUAGGGCUGCUUUUGUCUGUGCAUGGGGUAGGUGUUCAGCAACAGGUAAGAGAAGAGCUGUCCUGGAAGAAAAGAAUCAGGAACUCAAAAUGAAGAAAACCAGAGGUAAGAGGUGGAAGGAUACUGGCUUGGCAGGAUGUAGGUGGAAAUACUUUCCUAUUCUCUGAAGAACUGCCUGAUACAUAACUAACUUUACAUUCUACCUCUGUCCCUAAGUGCUUCCUACUGGGCCCUGCCCCAAACCCAGGCCAGCCUGUCCCUCCCACUUGCCAGGGAAAAUGUCUGGAGACAGUUCAGCCUUUGAUGUAACUAACCCUACACUCUAACCCUGAGUCCCUCCUUCCCUCCUUUGUUCCUACUCUCCCUCCUUCCUUCCCUCCCUCCUCCUUUCCCUCACUCAUCCUUCCUUCCCUUCCUCCCAUCUCCUUCCCUCCUUGGUUUUGUAUUGAAGCUUUGACCUAUUUUCUUUUCAACCUGGGCUGAUUUGCCUGGCACCCCACAUUCCCAAGGGCUCAACAUAAUGAUGCUAAACUUGGGCAAGAUACCCAGUUGGUUUUAGCUGUACUGUAGCUCAGAACUAAAGCAAUCCACCAGCCUUAGCUUCCCUCACACUGUUUGUUGGUAUGAUUUUUACCCUCAGUUCUUUCUAUUUUGCUUUACCUAGAGAUAGGUAUGCAUGUCCUUUUCUUGAUGUAAUUGGCAUUCAAUCUUUAUUCUCUCUCCUUAGCUUUUGGCACACCUGCCUUUCUCUUUUUCCCCUGUCUGCCCGAGCAAGGCAUAGGAAGACAUCUGAGGGUUAAAAGCUGUGUUCACUUUAUGACUUUAUUAUUUCAGGAGAAUUGGUUAUCACCUGACAGAAGUGAUCUCAAAGCCUGGAGUAGAUGAAACGAUCAAGAAUGAAAUCAUCCCACCCAGCCUGACAGCUGGUGACUAACUGAAAAGGGAGAGGGGCGGUAAUGCCUCCUCAGUAAUAUCACACCAUGUGACAAACAAAGUAAAAAUGCUCACUGACAAAGUGCCUGUAAACUAAUGAGCUAUUGGGAAGAGGGCAUCACUUUUGUAAAAGCAGCAGUAUGAUGUUACAUCAGGCAGAUGGGGGAAAGCAGGGGAGAUCAGACAGGAAGGCUUUUACACAAUACAAAGCCAAACCCAUAAGCUUGGGAAAACAGGAUAUCCAUGUAAGUAAAGAAAAAAAGAAAAUGAAUACAUCGAAUAUUCAUCCUUCCUGUUGGUUAAGGCCAAAUGAAAUAAAUAGUUAUCCAGAGCCAAGCAUGGUAUCCUGGAUGUAGUAUGCCCUUAAUAAAUGUUUGUUGAAUUUAAUUGUUUUUUACUUAGGAUUCAGGGCUGUAUGGGAAUACUGUUGUAUUUUAAUUACCCUGUUAAUUAUUUACCCUACUGUUUCCUUUAUUAGGAUAUAUAUGUAUGUGUAUACACAAACACACAUGUAUUUAAAUUUGGGGCAACAAAUGGAAUAUUAUUGACGUCUAUGAUUUAGUCCAGUUAAAAUUCCAGACAUUUUCUGGUCCCCAAAAAAACAGAAUUAUAGAAUUUUAUAGCUGGAAGGAUAGAGUCUGGUCCUGGAAUUUCAUUAGAAUAGGAAAACUCUCAGGUAAGGAAACUCUUCUGGUGUAAGUUUAUACCUUCUCUAUAUCAUUACAUAGACUUAGCUGUGAUAGAGCACUGACUUGCCUAGUGUCUCAUAUCCUGUGUGGGUCAGAGUUAAGGCUUGAACUGAGGUCUUCCAAGUGUCAGCUCUAUUCACCACACCCAGCUGCCUGUCUAUUACAGCUGAAAAGGACCUCAGAAAUCAAUCCAACUCCUUUAUUUUCAAGAAAGGUAAAGGAAAGAAACAAGCAUUUAUUAAAUGCCUACUGUGUGCCAGGCAUUACAAAGUAUUUUAUCUAACUUUAAUCUCACAACAACAGUAUAGAUAGGUGCUAUAUUAUCAUCCUGAAUUUACAGAUGAGGAAACUGAGGCAGGCAAGUUAAAUGGCUUGUCCAGGUUCACACAGCCAGUGUGA